This is a long non-coding RNA of Aethalodelphis obliquidens (Pacific white-sided dolphin), 115 nucleotides long. RefSeq lists it as uncharacterized. The record is from RefSeq and is a predicted model, not a curated record. The transcript has 3 exons. NCBI's taxonomy places the organism in Eukaryota, Metazoa, Chordata, Mammalia, Artiodactyla, Delphinidae.
UCAAAAUAAAUUAGUGGAGGAAAAAGAUAUAACAUGUUAACACUAAUCAACAGAAAGCAGGAGUAGCUAUAUUAAUUUCAGACAUAGCAGAUUUCAGAGCAAGGAAAGUUAUCAG